GACGACGCUGGCGGCGUGCCUAACACAUGCAAGUCGAGCGGGGUUGAAGCGAGAGGUAACUCGAACUUCUACCUAGCGGCGGACGGGUGAGUAACGCGUGGGCAACCUGCCUCAAGGUCUGGGAUAACAGCCCGAAAGGGCUGCUAAUACCGGGUAUGCUUGUGGCCUCGCAUGGGGCUAUGAGCAAAGGGGAAACCCGCCUUGAGAUGGGCCCGCGUCCCAUCAGCUAGUUGGUGAGGUAACAGCUCACCAAGGCGACGACGGGUAGCCGGCCUGAGAGGGUGACCGGCCACACUGGGACUGAGACACGGCCCAGACUCCUACGGGGGGCAGCAGUGGGGGAUCUUGCACAAUGGGCGAAAGCCUGAUGCAGCGACGCCGCGUGAGCGAAGAAGGCCUUCGGGUUGUAAAGCUCUGUCUGGAGGGACGAAGGAAGUGACGGUACCUCCGGAGGAAGCCACGGCUAACUACGUG
This 474-nucleotide ribosomal RNA is filed under the name uncultured bacterium. Its description in RNAcentral is "bacterial SSU rRNA". It matches the Rfam family "Bacterial small subunit ribosomal RNA", at positions 33 to 507 of the family's 1533-position model. The record is from RNAcentral.